RNAcentral lists this unclassified non-coding RNA (335 nucleotides) under soil metagenome. RNAcentral's name for it is "partial contains 5.8S ribosomal RNA, internal transcribed spacer 2, and large subunit ribosomal RNA". The stretch from base 1 to 120 matches the Rfam family "5.8S ribosomal RNA", at positions 35 to 154 of the family's 154-position model. The record is from RNAcentral.
GAUGAAGAACGCAGCGAAAUGCGAUAAGUAAUGUGAAUUGCAGAAUUCAGUGAAUCAUCGAAUCUUUGAGCGCACAUUGCGCCCGCCAGUAUUCUGGCGGGCAUGCCUGUUCGAGCGUCAUUUCAACCAUCAAGCCCCCGGCUUGUGUUGGGGACCUGCGGCUGCCGCAGGCCCUGAAAACCAGUGGCGGGCUCGCUAGUCACUCCGAGCGUAGUAAUACAUCUCGCUCAGGGCGUGCUGCGGGUUCCGGCCGUUAAAAAGCCUUAUUUACCCAAGGUUGACCUCGGAUCAGGUAGGAAGACCCGCUGAACUUAAGCAUAUCAAUAAGCGGAGGA